UCCACAUUGAACUACACAUUUUAUAGGCAUGUAUGGUUGUCUAAUUAACUGUUAGGUUCAGAUAAUUACAAAGUCCCCGACGGGAUAUCUUGUCCAAUUUAAAAAUCUACCGGAAUGUUUUUUCAUUGAAAAUAGUGUUGAAUUUAAAGCACCACCAAAAAAUGAUGUAAGCACCAGAGGAGGAACUCAGGAAGCUUCUGUCUGUCUUAAGGUCUUACAUCCAGAGCUUCGGGUCCAAACUGGUGUUGUCCAUUCCAGAGGCCAAUUCUGGUAUAUCAUUUAAAAAAUCAUAUCAGCACCAAAAAAAACCUUACCACUACAGAUGAUAGCUUAAAUUCCACAACAAUGUCCAAUAAACAGGAAGAUGGGGUCUACAAAACUCUUUUGGGGUCUAAGAUUGUUUGUUAUGCUCAUAAGUCCACAGCCACAAAUGGUCCAAUCUUCACAAGUACUGGGGUCUGUUGGUGUAUAUAUCAUUAAGAAAAAUAUAAGCACCACAGAAAAAAAACUUAGCACCACGGGAGGUAGCUUCCCUCCAAUUGGUCCAACUGAAGUGCAUAGGGGUCCAAAGCACUCUAUUGGGGUCGAAGUUGAUUUUCUAUGCUCAUCAGUCCGCAAGCACAUAUGGUAAAAUCUACACAAGUCCUGGGGUCUGUUGGUGUAUAUAUCAUUUAAGAAAAAUAUAAGCACCACAGAAAAAAAACUAAGCACCACGGGAGGUAGCUUUCCUCCAAUUGGUCCAACUGACAUGUAUAGGGGUCUAAAGCACUCUAUUGGGGUAAGUUGGUUUGUUAUGCUCAUUAGUCCACAGGCACAUAUGGUAAAAUCUACAAAAGUCCUGGGGUCUGUUGGUGUAUAUAUCAUUUAAGAAAAAUAUAAGCACCACAGAAAAAAAAACUUAGCACCACGGGAGGUAGCUUUCUCCAAUUGGUCCAACUGACGUGAAUAUAGGGGUCUAAAGCACUCUAUUUGGGGUCUAAGAUUGGUUUGUUAUGCUCAUUAGUCCACAGGCACAUAUGGUAAAAUCUACAAAAGUCCUAGGGUCUGUUGGUGUAUAUAUCAUUAAGAAAAAUAUAAGCACCACAGAAAAAAAAACUUAGCACCACGGGAGGUAGCUUCCCUCCAAUUGGUCCAACUGACGUGUAUAGGGGUCUAAAGCACUCUAUUGGGGUCUAAGUAGGUUUGUUAUGCUCAUUAGUCCACAGGCACAUAUGGUAAAAUCUACAAAAGUCCUAGGGUCUGUUGGUGUACAAAUGUAUAUCAUUUAAGAAAAAUAUAAGCACCACAGAAAAAAAACUUAGCACCACGGGAGGUAGCUUCCCUCCAAUUGGUCCAACUGAAGUGUAUAGGGGUCUAAAGCACUCUAUUGGGGUCUAAGAUGGUUUGUUAAGCUCAUUACGUCAACAGGCACAUAUGGUCCAAAUCUACACAAGUCCUGGGGUCUUUUGGUGUAUAUAUCAUUUAAGAAAAAUAUAAGCACCACAGAAAAAAACUUAGCACCACGGGAGGUAGCUUCCCUCCAAUUGGUCCAACUGACGUGUAAGGGGUCUAAAGCACUCUAUUGGGGUCUAAGAUGGUUUGUUAAGCUCAUUAGUCCACAGGCACAUAUGGUCCAAAUCUACAAAGUCCUGGGGUCUUUUGGUGUAUAUAUCAUUUAAGAAAAAUAUAAGCACCACAGAAAAAAAACUUAGCACCACAGGAGGUAGCUUCCCUCCAAUUGGUCCAACUGACGUGUAUAGGGGUCUAAAGCACUCUAUUGGGGUCUAGAUGGUUUGUUAAGCUCAUUAGUCCACAGGCACAUAAUGGUCCAAUCUACACAAGUCCUGGGGUCUUUUGGUGUAUAUAUCAUUUAAGAAAAAUAUAAGCACCACAGAAAAAAAACUUAGCACCACGGGAGGUAGCUUCCCUCCAAUUGGUCCAACUGACGUGUAUAGGGGGUCUAAAGCACUCUAUUGGGGUCUAAGAUGGUUUGUUAUGCUCAUUAGUCCACAGGCACAUAUGGUAAAAUCUACAAAAGUCCUAGGGUCUGUUGGUGUAUAUAUCAUUUAAGAAAAAUAUAAGCACCACAGAAAAAAACUUAGCACCACGGGAGGUAGCUUUCUUCCAAUUGGUCCAACUGACGUGUAUAGGGGUCUAAAGCACUCUAUUGGGUCUAAGUUGGUUUGUUAUGCUCAUUAGUCCACAGGCACAUAUGGUAAAAUCUACACAAGUCCUAGGGUCUGUUGGUGUAUAUAUCAUUUAAGAAAAAUAUAAGCACCACAGAAAAAAAACUUAGCACCACGGGAGGUAGCUUCCCUCCAAUUGGUCCAACUGACGUGUAUAGGGGUCUAAAGCACUCUAUUGGGGUCUAAGUAGGUUUGUUAUGCUCAUUAGUCCACAGGCACAUAUGGUAAAAUCUACAAAAGUCCUAGGGUCUGUUGGUGUACAAAUGUAUAUCAUUUAAGAAAAAUAUAAGCACCACAGAAAAAAAAACUUAGCACCACGGGAGGUAGCUUCCCUCCAAUUGGUCCAACUGACGUGUAUAGGGGUCUAAAGCACUCUAUUGGGGUCUCUAAGAUGGUUUGUUAUGCUCAUUACCAAAGGCAAUAUGGUCCAAUCUACACAAGUCCUGGGGUCUUUGGUGUAUAUAUCAUUUAAGAAAAAUAUAAGCACCACAGAAAAAACUUAGCACCACGGGAGUAGUUUCUCCAAUUGGUCCAACUGACGUGAAUAGGGGUCUAAAGCACUCUAUUGGGGUCUAAUGGUUUGUUAAGCUCAUUAGUCCACAGGCACAUAUGGUAAAAUCUACAAAAGUCCUAGGGUCUGUUGGUGUAUAUAUCAUUUAAGAAAAAUAUAAGCACCACAGAAAAAAAAACUUAGCACCACAUGAGGUAGCUUCCCUCCAAUUGGUCCAACUGACAUGUAUAGGGGUCUAAAGCACUAUAUUGGGGUCGUAGAUGGUUUGUUAUGCUCAUUAGUCCACAGGCACAUAUGGUAAAAUCUACACAAGUCCUGGGGUCUUUUGAUGUAUAUAUCAUUUCAGAAAAAUAUAAGCACCACGGAAAAUGGACUUAGCACCAUGGGAGGUAGCUUUCCUGCAAUUGGUCCAACUGACGUGUAUAGGGGUCCAAAGCACUCUAUUGGGGUCUUAGAUGGUUUGUUUAGCUCAUUUGUCCACAGGCACAUACGAUCCAAACUACACAAGUCCUGGGGUCUUUUGAUGUACAUAUCAUUUAAGAAAAAUAUAAGCACCACAGAAAAUUGGACUUAGCACCACAGGAGGUGGUUUGCCAUCCAUUGGUUCAACAAACAGGUAAAAUAAUUUUUAAUGCUGUUUGGUGUUCUAAGUUGGUUUGUAAGGCUCAUUGGUCCACAGACAACUUUGAUCCACUCUUCAAGUCAAGAGGUCUUUUAUAUUAUAUUUUAUUUGAUGAAAAUAUAAACACCACCAAAAAAAACUUUGCACAUCUGGAGAGGUAGCUUCCCUCCCAAUAGUCCAAAGGAUUGGUAGUGGGUCUAAAAAUAGUCUAUGGCGUUCUCAUUUGCUUUGUAAGGCCUGUUGGUCCAAAAUCAACUGUGGUCCAAUCUACAUUAGUCUAGGGGUCUCUGGUUAUAUUUCACUGAAGAAAAAUAUAAGCACCACCAAAAAGAAAUGUAGCACCACAGGAGGUUACUUUCCUCCAUUUGGUCCAACAGAUGGGUAUAGGGGUCUAAAUACUCUUAGGGGUACUAAGUUGGUUUGUAAGGCUCAUUGGUCAACAGGAAACUGUGGUCUAAUCUUUAAGUUAAGGGUUCUCAUAGGGUAUAUUUCAUUAAAGAAAAAUAUAAGCACCAAGAAAAAAAAACUAAGCACCAUGGGAGGUAGCUUUCCUCUCGUUGGCCCAACAGACAGAUUUAGGGGUCUAACACAUUCUUUGGGUCCAAGAUGGUUUGAAAAGCACAUGUGGGGCGAUCUUCUAGUCCAGAGGUCUGUUGUGGUAUAUUUCAUUUAAGAAAUAUAAUUAGCACCACCAAAAAUGAACUUAGCACCACGAAUGAUUGCUUCCACCCCCUUGAUCCAAUAAACAGGUAUAGGGAUGUAAAAAAGCACUUUGAGAGGUCUAUCAUGAUUUAUAUGGCCCACUGUAUGUGUCCAAUCUACGAGUCCAGGAGUUUUAUGAUAUAUUUCAUUAAAGAAAAACUUGAUUUUGCUUUAUAGGGCCAUUUGGUCUACAUGUAUGCACAAAAUGUUACUGACAGGUCUGUAUCCUUAAAGCUGUGUAAAUGCAAACAAAUGUUGUGAGGAGAUUUAAAAGUCAGAAAAAUUGUAUUUCUUAUGAUAAUUCUCCAUUGCUCUUCCUGUCCUCAAGGCAAAAACCCUCUACAGGAGCACAUGAAAUAGUAUGAAAUCAGCACCUUAAACAUAAAGUAGCUUUGUAAAAAAGAAGAAAAAAAAAAAAAUAUGAUAUUCAGCAAUGAUAACAAACUGCUGACUUGGAACAGUCACAUAUAGAAAAUCAUAAAUAACAUGACAUGUACAUUAUGGUGUGAUAUUUAAAAUCAUAUGCUAAAUUAUUGAUUCUUAAUUGUACAUCAUUUUUAUGAAAUUGUGUGUCUAACUAGAUAUCUAAGUCUUGUUUUUCUUUCCGCAGAUUAUCCAAAUUGACAUCAAAAGUGUUCAGAUAUCAGAUGUAUAACAGCUAAAGAAUGAAAUUAUUUUGGUCAUUUCACAGCUUUUGCCUACAGUCAACUUUUUAUGGUAGGAUAAUAUGCACGUCUUAAGUAUUAAUAGUGUAUACAAAUGUAAACAUGUAAACGAAAUCAAUGUAUACACACUUUUUAUCAAUUAAUAAUUUGUUCAUUCAUUUUCACAUAUUUUGAUAAAUUACAUUGCACAUAAUCUAAAUAAAUUAUCACACAUUAAAGUAAACAAUAAGUAUAUGCAAUUGGAUAAAUAUAAGUUUCAAGUAGACAAUUAUUCUAUGAUAUUACAAAAGUGGCAGAUGACCUGUAGUUGUUAAUUCUGUAUCAUUUGGUCUCUUGUAAAGAGUUUGUCUCAUAGGCAAAUACAUGUACAAUCUGAUUAGGGAAGCUGAUUUUACUGAUUCAGACAAUUUAUUUCGUUCUAUCUUGCUUGAUUAUGUAGCAUUAAACAAUUGUCAGUAGCAAACAUGUAUUUGAAUUUCAAGUUAUUAUUUUAAUAGAUUAAGGCUUUACUUUUUCAGUGAAUCAAAGAAUGAAGAGAAAUCAACUUAUUUAUACCCAAGCUGACCAACUGUCAAGAAAGAGAAGACAAGGCAACUCCAUCUGAAGGAAAUUAAAAGAAAAGAUUUUAUUGUUAAAAAACAAUAGAUGUGAAAAUGUUAAAAUUUUCAAUCUAAAACACACA
RNAcentral lists this long non-coding RNA (5347 nucleotides) under Mytilus galloprovincialis (Mediterranean mussel). The record is from RNAcentral. Lineage: Eukaryota; Metazoa; Mollusca; Bivalvia; Mytilida; Mytilidae.